Molecule: transfer RNA, 74 nt
Filed under: Cyanobacteria bacterium REEB65
Lineage: Bacteria; Bacillati; Cyanobacteriota
Also listed under: 1 other name
Description: tRNA-Val
Rfam family: tRNA
About the family: Transfer RNA (tRNA) molecules are approximately 80 nucleotides in length. Their secondary structure includes four short double-helical elements and three loops (D, anti-codon, and T loops).
Source: RNAcentral
GGGCGAUUAGCUCAGCUGGUUAGAGCGCACGGUUCACAUCCGUGAGGUCCACGGUUCAAGUCCGUGAUCGCCCA